Molecule: long non-coding RNA, 843 nt
Organism: Leptopilina heterotoma
Lineage: Eukaryota; Metazoa; Arthropoda; Insecta; Hymenoptera; Figitidae
Exons: 4
Source: RefSeq, a predicted model, not a curated record
UAAAGCAGUUUUGUUUUGUUUACGAUAAUCUGUGCAGAAUGGAAUAUACAAACAUGUAUAAUUAAUUAAGAUAAGUAUUGUUUUUUAAUGAAUAAAUAAAUAAGUAAAUAAAUAGUUUAAUUAUUUUAUUGCGAAUUAAUUUUUUUUUCAGGUUUAAAUUAUAGGUGCAAAAUAUGACAGUAAGAAGAAGAAGAAAAUUAAAUUGUGCAUUGAGGUUAAAAAUUCCAACCGUACGUCAAGUCAUAAUAAAUUUGACACAUACCAUAAGGGAACGAGCGACACCAGUUCGGAAAAUUAAUUAGGAUAAAUAUUGUCUUGGAAUUUUAUUUUGAGGUUCAAGUAUUUAACGAUGGGAAUUUGUAACUGACAAGAGUGCGCAAUUAAUCAAUGUCGGAAUAUUGAGAAAUAAAGAUGUCUCCAAAUUUACGUUCUCACAUUAAUUUACAUAGUGAAUGAAAAAUUAGAAAAGAAUUGGAUAAUAAUUUUUGUCUCAUUGAAUCGCGGGGGAAAAGAAAUGAGAAGUUGGAUUCUUCUUUUGUUUCUUUUAUUCGUAGAAAAAUAUGAUUAAAAGUCAAUUUUUUCAAACCGUGUGAUAAGGAUGUGGUGGAGAAAAGGAUUUCUUUUAUAUACUUUGAAGAGUAAAACGGCUUGCUGAAAGAGAAACGUGCGCAGUUAAUAUUAAUUCUUCGUAAUGGAAAACAUGCAAUAAAAUUAAAAAUUCAUUUUCAUUUUGAAUAUUUUUUUAUUUUUUUUCUUUAUCUCUCUGGUGUUUUUAGUUCAAGUUACCUUCUUUUUUUUUUUUGUCUUUCGAAUGCAUUUCGAAUUUUUCAUAUUAAGUUAAUU